This 301-nucleotide ribosomal RNA is filed under the name uncultured bacterium. Its description in RNAcentral is "partial 16S ribosomal RNA". It matches the Rfam family "Bacterial small subunit ribosomal RNA", at positions 509 to 807 of the family's 1533-position model. The record is from RNAcentral.
CAGUAGCCACGGUAACACCGAGGGUGCAAGCGUUAAUCGGAAUUACUGGGCGUAAAGCGCGCGUAGGUGGUUUGUUAAGUUGGAUGUGAAAUCCCCGGGCUCAACCUGGGAACUGCAUCCAAAACUGGCAAGCUAGAGUAUGGUAGAGGGUGGUGGAAUUUCCUGUGUAGCGGUGAAAUGCGUAGAUAUAGGAAGGAACACCAGUGGCGAAGGCGACCACCUGGACUGAUACUGACACUGAGGUGCGAAAGCGUGGGGAGCAAACAGGAUUAGAUACCCCUGUAGUCCCUGUCUCUUAUAC